RNAcentral lists this long non-coding RNA (770 nucleotides) under Pongo abelii (Sumatran orangutan). RNAcentral describes it as "lincRNA". The record is from RNAcentral. Lineage: Eukaryota; Metazoa; Chordata; Mammalia; Primates; Hominidae.
UUCGGGGCUUAAAAGGGAGACAGUCCCAAAGACGUGAGUAAUUCUGACCUGUAGAGGAUUCCAUGGGAAGUCUUCUACAAGCCCCGAAGGAAGGGAAUCUCUCUCCUCAUACCUUGAGUUUCCUGAGUACAAUUAUUAUAGAUAUACGAAGAUCUCUAUGCUCAUGGGGAAUUUGUGUCAAGGGAUUUGUACAGCCCUAUAGGAGACACCUCCAGAGAAAGUAACAACUCUCAGUUGAUUAGCUGAGCCAGAAUUAGCUUCUGUUACUUACAACUGUGAGCCCUGACUGAAAACAUAUUUCUUCCUUUGAAGAAUUGUUACCUGUAACAGGCUAAGAAUAUUAAGAAUAAACAGAUGCUUUUACAGCUCGCAUUGGUGGGAAGAUCUGGCACAAAUGAAGUAUCUAUAAGGAGCAGCAGAGUCAAGAUUGGAUUUAGUGACUUGCUUCAUCAAUGGAAUACACUGAAAUAACAUUUUGGAAUUUCUGAGACUGUCAUAAAAAGCUGAAAGGCUUCUAUUGGGCUUCCUGAAAUGCUCCCUUUUGGAUCCCUGAGCAGCCAUGUGAGUUUAACUACUCUGCAGGAGAGAGUAUGUGAAAAGGAACCUACCUAAGCCCAGCCUCCGUGUCGUCCACAUGAAGACACCAAAUGAGCUACACUGUUUUGGACUCCCCAACACAACCCAGCCACCGGCUGAAUGCCACCAAAUUACCUUCUAGUUAAAGCUUUAUGGAGCAAACGAAUCACCUAUUCAAUAUCUGCUUGAAUUUC